UACAGAGGGUGCGAGCGUUGUCCGGAAUUAUUGGGCGUAAAGAGCUCGUAGGCGGUCUGUCGCGUCGAAUGUGAAAACCCGGGGCUCAACCCCGGGCCUGCAUUCGAUACGGGCAGACUAGAGUUCGGUAGGGGAGUCUGGAAUUCCUGGUGUAGCGGUGAAAUGCGCAGAUAUCAGGAGGAACACCGGUGGCGAAGGCGGGACUCUGGGCCGAUACUGACGCUGAGGAGCGAAAGCGUGGGGGAGCAAACAGG
RNAcentral lists this ribosomal RNA (254 nucleotides) under uncultured bacterium. Its description in RNAcentral is "partial 16S ribosomal RNA". It matches the Rfam family "Bacterial small subunit ribosomal RNA", at positions 524 to 776 of the family's 1533-position model. The record is from RNAcentral.